This is a long non-coding RNA of Austrofundulus limnaeus, 363 nucleotides long. RefSeq lists it as uncharacterized. The record is from RefSeq and is a predicted model, not a curated record. The transcript has 3 exons. Lineage: Eukaryota; Metazoa; Chordata; Actinopteri; Cyprinodontiformes; Rivulidae.
GGGUCCAGAUGUUUGUUGGUGUCUGAGGGUCCAGAUGUUUGUUGGUGUCUGAGGGUCCAGAUGUUUGUUGGUGUCUGAGGGUCCAGAUGUUUGUUGGUGUCUGAGGGUCCAGAUGUUUGUUGGUGUCUGAGGGCCCAGAUGUUUGUUGGUGUCUGAGGGUCCAGAUGUUUGUUGGUGUCUGAGGGUCCAGAUGUUUGUUGGUGUCUGAGGGUCCAGAUGUUUGUUGGUGUCUGAGGGUCCAGAUGUUUAUCAUCUAAAGGUCCAGAUGUUUGUUGGUGUCUGAGGGUCCAGAUGUUUAUCAUCUAAAGGUCCAGAUGUUUGUUGGUGUCUGACGGUCCAGAUGUUUAUCAUCAAAAAGUCCAG